GGAAGAAUUUUCUUAGAACCAAAAGGCAUGGAAUUGAUGACAUGAAACUGCCUGAGCUUCUCAGCUGACCUGUGGUGGUGUGCCCAAGUGGAAAGUUCUUCUUUCUUUCAGAGACAUAUGACUCACUAUUUCAACACAGAAGUCCCUUAUAUUGCAUGACACAAUAAAAAACAACCAGAGACUUCAAAAUUACUCCAGGCUAGAAGGACACUCCAAUUAGGGGAAAAGUAACCUAUGGGCUCUCUGUUGUAUGAAACCAUCUUCCAUAAGAGUUCAAGGACAGAAGACUACUGAUGUUGUAAUAACAUUGAAACUUAAUGUUUUGGGCAAUCCUUAAGUAAUUUAUUUGGAGUGUCCCAGUCAUUUUAGACCUCUUCACCUUACAAUGUGUUGUGUGAGAUUAUAUUUCCAUACACCUAAUUUUAAAAUAAAUUUAUUUAGGUGGAUGUAGAGACAUAUUACUGUGUUAAAGCAGUUCACACUAAAGAAAAUUUAGCUAA
RNAcentral lists this long non-coding RNA (500 nucleotides) under Pongo abelii (Sumatran orangutan). RNAcentral's name for it is "lincRNA". Lineage: Eukaryota; Metazoa; Chordata; Mammalia; Primates; Hominidae. The record is from RNAcentral.